RNAcentral lists this ribosomal RNA (254 nucleotides) under uncultured Synergistaceae bacterium. Its description in RNAcentral is "partial 16S ribosomal RNA". It matches the Rfam family "Bacterial small subunit ribosomal RNA", at positions 796 to 1041 of the family's 1533-position model. The record is from RNAcentral. Lineage: Bacteria; Thermotogati; Synergistota; Synergistia; Synergistales; Synergistaceae.
CUAGCCGUAAACGAUGGAUACUAGGUGUGGGUGUCGCAGGGCAUCCGUGCCGCAGCUAACGCGUUAAGUAUCCCGCCUGGGGACUACGGUCGCAAGACUGAAACUCAAAGGAAUUGACGGGGGCCCGCACAAGCGGUGGAGCACGUGGUUUAAUUCGAUGCAAACCGAAGAACCUUACCUGGGUUUGACAUGCAGGUGGUAGCGAAGAGAGAUCUGAGCGACUCUGCAGUAAUGUAGAGAGCCUGCACAGGUGC